CCUACGGGGGGCUGCAGUCGAGAAUCUUUCACAAUGGGGGCAACCCUGAUGGAGCGACGCCGCGUGGAGGAUAAGGUCUUCGGAUUGUAAACUCCUGUCAUGCGAGAGCAAAGCCUGCAAAGGUCUGAUAGUAUCGCAAGAGGAAGAGACGGCUAACUCUGUGCCAGCAGCCGCGGUAAUACAGAGGUCUCAAGCGUUGUUCGGAAUUACUGGGCGUAAAGGGUGCGUAGGCUGCGUGGAAAGUCAGAUGUGAAAUCCGGGGGCUCAACCUCCGA
RNAcentral lists this ribosomal RNA (275 nucleotides) under uncultured Verrucomicrobium sp. RNAcentral describes it as "partial 16S ribosomal RNA". It matches the Rfam family "Bacterial small subunit ribosomal RNA", at positions 338 to 619 of the family's 1533-position model. Lineage: Bacteria; Pseudomonadati; Verrucomicrobiota; Verrucomicrobiia; Verrucomicrobiales; Verrucomicrobiaceae. The record is from RNAcentral.